CAAUAGCGUAUAUUAAAGUUGUUGCAGUUAAAAAGCUCGUAGUUGGAUUUCUGGUGGGAGCGAUCGGUCUGGCGCUUAGCGCGAGUACUUGCAUCGUCUCCGGCCAUCCUUGGGGAGAGUCUGUCUGGCAUUAGGUUGUCGGGCAGAGGAUCCUCAUCGUUUACUGUGAAAAAAUUAGAGUGUUCAAAGCAGGCUUAUGCCGUUGAAUAUAUUAGCAUGGAAUAAUAAGAUAGGACUUUGGUACUAUUUUGUUGGUUUGCGCACCAAAGUAAUGAUUAAUAGGGACAGUUGGAGGUAUUCGUAUUCCGUUGUCAGAGGUGAAAUUCUUGGAUUUACGGAAGACGAACUACUGCGAAAGCAUUUACCAAGGAUGUUUUCAUUAA
This 383-nucleotide ribosomal RNA is filed under the name uncultured eukaryote. RNAcentral describes it as "partial 18S ribosomal RNA". It matches the Rfam family "Eukaryotic small subunit ribosomal RNA", at positions 592 to 976 of the family's 1831-position model. The record is from RNAcentral.